AGCAAGAUAACCAAGGUAGCCGC
This 23-nucleotide non-coding RNA is filed under the name Arabidopsis thaliana (thale cress). The record is from RNAcentral. Lineage: Eukaryota; Viridiplantae; Streptophyta; Magnoliopsida; Brassicales; Brassicaceae.